AAGAGAAAGUGUUCCACACAUAGAACAGGGGGAGACUUGAAUCCUAGAGAAAACAAAACAAAACCUAACAAAACAGAAAUGAACCCUUGAUGAACCUCUUGCUCUGGACUGGUGCCCUGAAAAUGAAUGAAAUUGUUUUAAAGAUUACCAAGAAGAUAUAAAAUAUCAAAUGCGGCAUUAAUGUAAGAAUCCCCUGAAAACAUGCUGGUAUUUGAAAAUCCUGCAUUCCCAGGAAGGGUGUGCACAUGGAGGAUCCUGACGGUACCUGACUGUGUGCAGAUGCAGCAGCCCAAACUCUGACUCUGACCCUACUUCUGUAUCUUAAGCCCGGUAGAUCCCUUGCAACUAUAUGAUUCCUCUGUCAUCAGUUGGUGAUAAUGGUGCCAGAGAGGGCAGAAUUGUUUCAGAAUUCAGAGAGAGGAUGGCAUGUUAAAACUGGAAGAAAUAUUCUAGAUCAAGACCCUUAUUCAGUAGAUGAGGACAACGAAAGUAGAGAAACAGUGUGCCCGACCCAGGUCUGGCUUACUGAAAUUCCUGGUUGAUGUCUCUGUGCCCCCUAUUCCUGCCCACCUCUCCCACUUCCCGAGAAUGUUUAGUCAUGACAACCAAAAGAGAUUCGUUAAUCAGGGGACCCACUUUGGUGAAAGGAGAUGAUUCUGUAUCAUUAACUGAUUAAAUAAAACAAAUUCCAAUACAACAUUUACUUUUCUGUCUGCCACCCCUUGGAGGAAAAUUUCAAGAAGAAACAAAACUAACUAGCAAACUACAUGUUAAGCAUUCCAAUAUUCUGUUUUUAACAAAAUAUUUUAGCAUUUUAAGAAAAAGAAUAUGAGGACUUUAACAAAGAAAAACUGGACCCCCAUUGUAUUUUAAUUUUAACUUUUGAUGAGCCACAUUGUUCUAGCUAUAUUAAUUUGAAUCCAUCUGGCUUACACAGAGAGACAUUUCAAAUGCUUUCCAUAAUAGCGGGAAGGAAUGAUCUCAUGAGGAAAGGAUUUUUUCAUGCUGCUGGAUUCUUGGAGGCUUUUGCUGAGAAUCAUCAUGUAGGGUGAGGUGGAGCAUCAUGCAUUUAUUUAACAAAUAUGUAUUGAGUAGGUGACGUGCCAGGUACCGUGUCAGCUACUAGGUUUAUGAAAAUGAGAUUCGGACCUUAUUCUCAAGGAGCAUAGUAUCUAGUAGGAAAUACUAGUAUGUUAAUUAAUUACUAAUAAAAGUCACAGUAAAUGUAA
Molecule: long non-coding RNA, 1229 nt
Organism: Homo sapiens (human)
Lineage: Eukaryota; Metazoa; Chordata; Mammalia; Primates; Hominidae
Product: long intergenic non-protein coding RNA 2624
Source: Ensembl